UCCAUGGACUCAAUGGCUCCCUCAGGAUCUUUCUCCUGCAUUUUGUUGCAGACCACAAUGCAUUUCUCGCGGCGUCGGUUGCCCCGGCAAUGGGUAGCACGCGGUGAGGCCCACAUACCCCGAAGGUGGAGCUGGGCGGGGUCGCGAGGACCACCCAGAGACUGGAGGGGUUGGAGGCUACUUUGUGCCCACGCCAAGAGAAGUGCCUCCCCAAUUUUCGAAAGUUAUCCCAGGAUGAGGAAAAUAAGGUUCAGAGAUGUGAAGUCCCUUGCCUAAAGUUAUACUGUUCAGAAAUGACAAAGCUGGGCUGACUCCGCAGUCACAUAAAGUAGAUGGAACCUCUGAACUGCCCGUUUCCCCAGACAAAGACAGAUGAUGCAUGUUCCUGGAAACUGGAGAAAACUCGACUCUCUAGAACAAAGAGUUCAUUUGGAACUUCCUGACUGCUGAUUUUUUUUAAUAUUUUAUUUUUAUUUUUUUAUUUAUGAUAGUCACAGAGAGAGAGAGAGGCAGAGACACAGGCAGAGGGAGA
Long non-coding RNA from Canis lupus familiaris (dog), 532 nucleotides. RefSeq lists it as uncharacterized. The transcript is spliced from 3 exons. The record is from RefSeq and is a predicted model, not a curated record. NCBI's taxonomy places the organism in Eukaryota, Metazoa, Chordata, Mammalia, Carnivora, Canidae.